CUUGACGGUACCUAACCAGAAAGCCACGGCUAACUACGUGCCAGCAGCCGCGGUAAUACGUAGGUGGCAAGCGUUAUCCGGAAUUAUUGGGCGUAAAGCGCGCGCAGGCGGUUUCUUAAGUCUGAUGUGAAAGCCCACGGCUCAACCGUGGAGGGUCAUUGGAAACUGGGGAACUUGAGUGCAGAAGAGAAAAGCGGAAUUCCACGUGUAGCGGUGAAAUGCGUAGAGAUGUGGAGGAACACCAGUGGCGAAGGCGGCUUUUUGGUCUGUAACUGACGCUGAGGCGCGAAAGCGUGGGGAGCAAACAGGAUUAGAUACCCUGGUAGUCC
RNAcentral lists this ribosomal RNA (329 nucleotides) under Bacillus magaterium. RNAcentral describes it as "bacterial SSU rRNA". It matches the Rfam family "Bacterial small subunit ribosomal RNA", at positions 468 to 796 of the family's 1533-position model. Lineage: Bacteria; Bacillati; Bacillota; Bacilli; Caryophanales; Bacillaceae. The record is from RNAcentral.